This 561-nucleotide long non-coding RNA is filed under the name Felis catus (domestic cat). Its description in RNAcentral is "lncRNA (ENSFCAG00000051835.1)". Lineage: Eukaryota; Metazoa; Chordata; Mammalia; Carnivora; Felidae. The record is from RNAcentral.
AUGUGCCUUGGGCUGCCUUGCACAGGGGCUCUCCCAACGUCGCUAUGGCUCAUACAAAGGUCCAAGGUAAAACCCAGCAGUCCACCUGACCCCUUUGUUUUGCAUGCUCCGGGACUGGAGAAAGAUCAGUUAUGGUUUUCGUGGGCUUCUGGUUUUUUCAAUCUGAAAAGUAACACUGAGAAAGCUCCCGGAAGAGAGUCUCAGCAGCGGGCACCGCGGCGUCGUGGAGUCAUGGGAUUUGGGUUUUCUCUUCUUUUCUUUCUUUCGCCGCUGUUAGGCUGAGCCUCGCAGGGAGUCCCCAUCAACAAAUGGGAUAAAAAGAAGAUGCCGGGAACGUUCAAUGCGUUUGUGUUUAUCAAAGCUCUUCCAGGGUUUAAACAAUUAGUUCUAUGAAUUAGGAACAUGCAAUGCCCAAAGUAUAUUGCUGAGAAAAAAAUCUAAGGUCUCUGAAAUGCCAGAUGCUCUGCAGAGUAUUAAGAAAGGGAAGGAAGGUGCUUGUGAUUUAGAGGGUAUCACCAUUUACUGGGGCUAUACAAAAUGGUUGUGAAGAGGGUACGGGGC